AUAUGGCAGGGUAAGAUUGAGAAGAAUGGAGUUCCCUCCUGCACUCUGAAGUUUAGAGUUUUUUAAUGGAGAAGAAGACCCUUGACCCAUGGACUUCUGUGGAGAUUUGCCACCCUAGAACAAUGGCUUAUGCCAUUAUGGUCUCCAGAUCAUCACCUUCUUUUUGUUCUGGGUCAGUCAUUCAGCACUUCCUUUGAUAACACUGGCUUUUGCGUGUUGGGGUAUGGCAAGCCCAAGGUGUAUGAGGUAACUUUUUUCAGUUGGAACCAAGAGUGACAAUUGAAGGUGAAGUUUCUAGGAUUUACACAGUAAUUUAUAUUGUUGCACAGACUGGACCCAAAUGGCAACCACAAAAAUGGUAGCUCAUAGAACAGAAGAUGUAUUCUUUCAGGGUUGUCCUAGUUACUGUAAACCACAAAUGAAAAAUAAAUAAUGAUUAAUGAAGUGUUUGUCCCUGGUGGGAGGAAGAGAUGUAGCACACUUAUAGAAAAGAUAACAAAUGCAUCCCAAGAUUGCCCAGAGGCUGAGUGAUCUUAUAAGGUCUAAGGAACUGUGAAGCAAAUUGAAUACAAAGUCCUUUAGCAAACCAGUGACAGCCAAAUACCUCAUGGUGAUGACUUAUAUUUAGGAACUAUGGGUAUUUAAAGAUAAUAGUUUGUUAGAAAAGAAUAAUUUGUUAGUGAAGUUGUUAUAAUUUAUCCAAUGAUAUUUAUUGAUGAUGUAAUUGACAAUAACAUUAUUAUUGUAGUAUGCAAGUUAAAUGAAGUUCUCACUUUUGCUCUCAUGGUCCCUAAGGAAUCUUUGUACUUUGUUCAAAAGAAAGGUCCAUAUCUGUCCUCUGUUCUUAAAAGGUUAGGGAAGGAUGGUUAUCAAUGUUCAAACAACAGCUUGCAGGGGGGUAUCAAUAAUUAGGGAUGUUUGGGCUCACUGUGUCCUUUUGUGAUUUCUUUCCUGAGUGGGUAUAAAGACUUAUAGAGUCACUCCAGAUAGGAAACCUAAAAACUUAACAGACAGCUCCAUUAAAGAUUAGUUUGGUGAAGCAAUUAAUAUAUUGAGUGGUUUGCUGGACCACAGUAGUCUGGUUGGUUACCUACAGAAAUGUGAGUGACUCAACUAGAACUAUGCCACCGAAGCCUCCUUCUCCAGCUUGGAUGAAAGCUCACAACAGCUGCUUCAUCCCUGUUCAGCCUUCUAUUGCCUGUUGUGCUAUCACUGCAAAGAAAUGCGUGGUUGUGGGAGGUGGAAGUAUUGGCUGGAAUCUCAGUAGAGGUUUGGAUGAUUGACCCUCUUUCUAGGAAGAAUUAUUACCAGGUCCAGUCUCCAGUGGGUCUCUGCUUCUCUAAUACAAGAUGGUGACAGUCAUGUCCAAUCCCAAAGAAAAUGACACCAACAUCCUUCCUUUAUUUAUUUUUAGCAUCCCCUUUCCUUUGUGUAGGGUAAACACAUCAUUUCAGAUGCCACUGUGGUACUCUCUGUCACCUUUUCCCUUUCUAGA
Long non-coding RNA from Peromyscus eremicus (cactus mouse), 1495 nucleotides. RefSeq lists it as uncharacterized. The record is from RefSeq and is a predicted model, not a curated record. NCBI's taxonomy places the organism in Eukaryota, Metazoa, Chordata, Mammalia, Rodentia, Cricetidae. The transcript has 3 exons.